GUAAUCAACGCGCCUGCCGCCGCUCGUCGACACCGCCGCCGUCCGUCGUCUGCACGCCACCAAAUAAUGUCGCAGCACACUAAAAACAACUGUUAAAUGAGUGGUGUGGAGUGGUGUGCGAUUGUUGACGUACUUCUCCAACCAGCACUAAGCAGAAAUUGAAGUGGUAUGAACAGCGACGCCACUGGACAGUGGACGACUGAGAAUGAACAAUUUGUCGUGCUGUACGACGCCUGUCGUCAGUGAAGAAUGGAGGUGACUUUGUUGUACAGUAUCUGUUUUCUAUUGUUAGGACUCGGUUCCAUUAUCACACUUAAGAAGAUGACAAAUGCGGACGGAUCGAGGACUCUUUUAUAGUGUUGUUUACUGCGCACAGUGGAGGAGCAAUUUUAUCAAAAUGGUAAUACAUCCUAUAAUAAAGCACUGUGUAUGAAA
Long non-coding RNA from Schistocerca serialis cubense, 435 nucleotides. RefSeq lists it as uncharacterized. NCBI's taxonomy places the organism in Eukaryota, Metazoa, Arthropoda, Insecta, Orthoptera, Acrididae. The record is from RefSeq and is a predicted model, not a curated record. The transcript is spliced from 2 exons.